GACGAACGCUGGCGGCGUGCUUAACACAUGCAAGUCGAACGGAAAGGCCCUGCUUUUGUGGGGUGCUCGAGUGGCGAACGGGUGAGUAACACGUGAGUAACCUGCCCUUGACUCUGGGAUAACUUCAGGAAACUGGGGCUAAUACCGGAUAGGAGCUCCUGCUGCAUGGUUGGGGUUGGAAAGUUUCGGCGGUUGGAGAUGGACUCGCGGCUUAUCAGCUUGUUGGUGGGGUAGUGGCUUACCAAGGCUUUGACGGGUAGCCGGCCUGAGAGGGUGACCGGCCACAUUGGGACUGAGAUGCGGCCCAGACUCCUACGGGAGGCAGCAGUGGGGAAUAUUGCACAAUGGGCGGAAGCCAGAUGCAGCAACGCCGCGUGCGGGAUGACGGCCUUCGGGUUGUAAACCGCUUUCGCCUGUGACGAAGCGUGAGUGACGGUAAUGGGUAAAGAAGCACCGGCUAACUACGUG
RNAcentral lists this ribosomal RNA (468 nucleotides) under uncultured bacterium. Its description in RNAcentral is "partial 16S ribosomal RNA". It matches the Rfam family "Bacterial small subunit ribosomal RNA", at positions 28 to 507 of the family's 1533-position model. The record is from RNAcentral.